This 581-nucleotide ribosomal RNA is filed under the name fungal endophyte. RNAcentral describes it as "eukaryotic LSU rRNA". The stretch from base 205 to 358 matches the Rfam family "5.8S ribosomal RNA". Lineage: Eukaryota; Fungi. The record is from RNAcentral.
AAAUCACGGCCCGUAGGUGAACCUGCGGAGGGAUCAUUACACAAAUAUGAAGGCGGGCUGGAACCUCUCGGGGUUACAGCCUUGCUGAAUUAUUCACCCUUGUCUUUUGCGUACUUCUUGUUUCCUUGGUGGGUUCGCCCACCACUAGGACAAACAUAAACCUUUUGUAAUUGCAAUCAGCGUCAGUAACAAAUUAAUAAUUACAACUUUCAACAACGGAUCUCUUGGUUCUGGCAUCGAUGAAGAACGCAGCGAAAUGCGAUAAGUAGUGUGAAUUGCAGAAUUCAGUGAAUCAUCGAAUCUUUGAACGCACAUUGCGCCCUUUGGUAUUCCAAAGGGCAUGCCUGUUCGAGCGUCAUUUGUACCCUCAAGCUUUGCUUGGUGUUGGGCGUCUUGUCUCUAGCUUUGCUGGAGACUCGCCUUAAAGUAAUUGGCAGCCGGCCUACUGGUUUCGGAGCGCAGCACAAGUCGCACUCUCUAUCAGCAAAGGUCUAGCAUCCAUUAAGCCUUUUUUUCAACUUUUGACCUCGGAUCAGGUAGGGAUACCCGCUGAACUUAAGCAUAUCAUAACCCGGAGGAAA